GGUGAGCAAUAGCGAGAACAAGGGUCAGCAGUUUCGAAACAAGUUCGAACCAACAUAAGUAUCAAAAGAUGUUCAGUAAUCAAAAGACAAACAAAAACAAGAACUAAAGCCCUAGAAAAUCAACCCCAAGGUUAAGUCAUUAUAAUCACUGAUUAUUCAAAUGAUUUCAGAAAUGAGAGAUUGAAGGAUCACAUCAUUCUUCAAUUGAAAAGUAUUUCACCAGAUAUUAUCAGCCGUUUUUGCUAUUUUUGGAUUUUU
This 258-nucleotide long non-coding RNA is filed under the name Nicotiana benthamiana. RNAcentral's name for it is "long non-coding RNA (NBEN_LNC030989)". Lineage: Eukaryota; Viridiplantae; Streptophyta; Magnoliopsida; Solanales; Solanaceae. The record is from RNAcentral.